This is a long non-coding RNA of Esox lucius (northern pike), 792 nucleotides long. RefSeq lists it as uncharacterized. The transcript has 3 exons. NCBI's taxonomy places the organism in Eukaryota, Metazoa, Chordata, Actinopteri, Esociformes, Esocidae. The record is from RefSeq and is a predicted model, not a curated record.
AUCAGUGAAUGUCCUGUGCAAGCAGCAUAUGAGAAGGAAAUGGAAAAAAAUUCUGGCAUUUCACUGCAAAUGCGUCAAUGGCCUGGAAAAAAACACUAUCUUUUCUUGUAUAAAACAACUGUCUAUGUCUAAUGAUGUUGCUGUUAAAGUUAACUAGCUAAGCUAACAUUUCUUGGUUUCUAGCUUAUUCGUUGGCGGCAGCAGAACACGUCCUGCUUUUCUCCACCAGUCCUAAAAGGAGAAUGGUACAUUGCCCCCACCCAAAAAGAGACCCGGCGCCAAGCACAAAGUUGCACAUGAAGCAGGAGGACAUACAGCGACUUGUGGACUUGUGGACAUAAACAACUAUGCAGAGGAUAAUGCAGUGGUUUUGCCAGGACGCCACGUACAGGACACAGAGACUUUGGUGGAAAGCUGCUGCCAUCAGAUGUGACUGAAGCAGAAGUCAUGGCUUCUCUACAAGGAGUCAAUGACAACACUUGAACAAUAUGCAAUCGGGCUGGGUUACUUCAGGAAUCUUUGGAGAAAGUUGCUUCCCCACAUCUCAAGCACCAAGCCCUAAUGUAUCCAGUGCAUGUGAAUAAACUUUAUUAAAAUUUUAUUUGGUUCGGUAUAGUGUGCGUUUAUUAGAGUCCAACAGACCAGGCCAGAGUGUCUCCAUUUGAAUACUUAAAUAGCUGGGUGGGGUUAAGGCCUAAGAGUAUGUGAACUAUGCUAAAUGGGUGUAAACAAAGACCAGGUCUCUGGUAAGUGUGAAAAUCAUUCAAGCCUUUUUUCUUAGAACUUGGUAGA